RNAcentral lists this unclassified non-coding RNA (293 nucleotides) under uncultured Venturiaceae. RNAcentral describes it as "sequence contains ITS1". The stretch from base 1 to 105 matches the Rfam family "5.8S ribosomal RNA", at positions 50 to 154 of the family's 154-position model. Lineage: Eukaryota; Fungi; Ascomycota; Dothideomycetes; Venturiales; Venturiaceae. The record is from RNAcentral.
GAAUUGCGAUAUCUAAUGUGAAUUGCAGAAUUCAGUGAAUCAUCGAAUCUUUGAACGCACAUUGCGCCCCCUGGUAUUCCGGGGGGCACACCUGUUCGAGCGCCAUUACAAACCUCAAGCCUUGCUUGGUGAUGGGCCCCGCCCGCGCGGCGGGCCUGAAACUCGUGGGCGCCCCAGGCCGGACUCUAAGCGUAGCAAAACCCUCGCUUUGACGACCGGUCAGAGGCCGCCCCGGACCCCAAAUUUUAUCAAUGGUUGGCCUCGGAUCAGGUGGGGAUACCCGCUGAACUUAA